GACGAACGCUGGCGGCGUGCUUAACACAUGCAAGUCGAACGGAAAGGCCCUGCUUGCAGCGUACUCGAGUGGCGAACGGGUGAGUAACACGUGGGUGCUCUGCCCUGCACUUCGGGAUAAGUCUUGGAAACUGGGUCUAAUACCGGAUAGCAGCCAUUAUUAGUGUGAUGGUUGUAAAGUUUUUUCGGUGUAGGCUGAGCUCGCGGCCUAUUGGCUUGUUGGGGCGGUAAUGGCCUACCAAGGCGACGCGGGGUAGCCGGCCGGAGAGAGUGGACGGCGACAUAGGGACUGAGAGACGCCCCAGAUUCCUACGCGGGGCAGAGGUGGGGAAAAUAGCACAAUGGGCGCAGGGCGGAUGCAGCAGCGCUGCGUGGGGGAUGACGGCCUUCGUGUGGAAGAAACCUGUCGCUAGGGACGAAGCAUUUUAUGACGGUACCUACAGAAGAAGCACCGGCUAACUACGUG
RNAcentral lists this ribosomal RNA (465 nucleotides) under uncultured bacterium. RNAcentral's name for it is "partial 16S ribosomal RNA". It matches the Rfam family "Bacterial small subunit ribosomal RNA", at positions 28 to 507 of the family's 1533-position model. The record is from RNAcentral.